RNAcentral lists this ribosomal RNA (452 nucleotides) under uncultured bacterium. RNAcentral's name for it is "partial 16S ribosomal RNA". It matches the Rfam family "Bacterial small subunit ribosomal RNA", at positions 28 to 507 of the family's 1533-position model. The record is from RNAcentral.
GAUGAACGCUGGUGGCGUGCCUAACACAUGCAAGUCGAGCGAUUCUCUUCGGAGAAGAGCGGCGGACGGGUGAGUAACGCGUGGGUAACCUGCCCUGUACACACGGAUAACAUACCGAAAGGUAUGCUAAUACGAGAUAACAUGCUUUUAUCGCAUGGUAGAAGUAUCAAAGCUUUUGCGGUACAGGAUGGACCCGCGUCUGAUUAGCUAGUUGGUGAGGUAACGGCUCACCAAGGCGACGAUCAGUAGCCGACCUGAGAGGGUGAUCGGCCACAUUGGAACUGAGACACGGUCCAAACUCCUACGGGAGGCAGCAGUGGGGAAUAUUGCACAAUGGGCGUAAGCCUGAUGCAGCAACGCCGCGUGAGCGAUGAAGGCCUUCGGGUCGUAAAGCUCUGUCCUCAAGGAAGAUAAUGACGGUACUUGAGGAGGAAGCCCCGGCUAACUACGUG